GCAGGGUUCGUACAUCGGUAGUACAGCGGCUUCCCAAGCCGCUGAGGCGGGUUCGACUCCCGUACCCUGCUCCA
RNAcentral lists this transfer RNA (74 nucleotides) under Bacillota bacterium. Its description in RNAcentral is "tRNA-Gly". It matches the Rfam family "tRNA". From Rfam's summary of the family: Transfer RNA (tRNA) molecules are approximately 80 nucleotides in length. Their secondary structure includes four short double-helical elements and three loops (D, anti-codon, and T loops). The record is from RNAcentral. RNAcentral also lists the same sequence under 6 other names. Lineage: Bacteria; Bacillati; Bacillota.